UCAGAUGUAGCUCAGUGUUUAAAGCAGUUCAGCUGCUAACUUAAAGGUCGGGGGUUCGAACCCACCAGCUGUU
This 73-nucleotide transfer RNA is filed under the name Loxodonta africana (African savanna elephant). It matches the Rfam family "tRNA". Rfam says of the family: Transfer RNA (tRNA) molecules are approximately 80 nucleotides in length. Their secondary structure includes four short double-helical elements and three loops (D, anti-codon, and T loops). Lineage: Eukaryota; Metazoa; Chordata; Mammalia; Proboscidea; Elephantidae. The record is from Rfam by way of RNAcentral.